Molecule: long non-coding RNA, 1077 nt
Organism: Prunus avium (sweet cherry)
Lineage: Eukaryota; Viridiplantae; Streptophyta; Magnoliopsida; Rosales; Rosaceae
Source: RefSeq, a predicted model, not a curated record
CCAUCACAUAUAGUCAACCAUCUGAACCACCCUAAUCAACUGAAUCCAAUCCACUUUCUUAACACCUUCAUUUCUAUUCUUGUUCAACCAGAUGGUAAACCUAUCUCAUCACCUCAGAGUUCCAACUUCCGGGUGCAAACCUUCAACCUUCCUGCCCAAAGGCCGGAAUCUAGAUGGCGUAGAAGGCGACCGCUAGUUUCAGCCACGAAGAGAAGCAGGCAGAGUCUUGGAACAGGAAAUCGCUGCAACAUCAAGAAGAGUCUGCCAGAAACAACAGCAGAGACUACCUUAGAAGAUUGCCCAUAAUGUAAGUUUUAUGUCAAAAUUACAUUAAUACAUACAUGUCAAGCCUGUAAAAAGAAGUAUUCAUAUUAUUUGGCAGGAGAUACGUUGCAAUCAGAAAUAUAACAUACACACCAAAUAACCAGUGGAAAGGUGUUAUAUUUCCAAAUUUUCUCUCUGAGAAGCACACAUGCUACAGCCAUGCUUACUGCUACAGAAUUCAUACUUUAUGCGUGAUUUUCACAUAGUGAGAUUAGCUGUAGCACACACGCAUGCAUAACUUCAGAAAGGUAAUGACAUUCCAUUACAGAAAGGGAGAAGGUGAAACAGGCGUCUCAGCACUCUACCCAUCUUACAGGUACCCAUAAAAAUUAAACAUUCAUCACUCAUAAGCACCAUGAGAGACCUACUUAUCUUAACACCAUUUGAGGAGAGAGAGAGAGAGAGAGAGAGAGAGAGAGAGAGAAUAAGAACCAUUUGUUCAACUACACCCAAAAUUCAGUGACAGCUACACAUAAGUAAAACAAGAGGCACGAUACAUAGUUACACAUAAUUAAAUAUGAUGCAUCAAAGAAACUACAAUUUUUCAAGAAGACUCUCUAUUGUGUUCAUUUGUUUCAAUUAUUUGCUCUUCUGGGCUAGAAAACGUGGACAAGAGCAUUAUGCCGAUUGAACUUAGUCCACAGUCUCCUCUUGUCUUAGAGCUUCUAAUGUCUGAUGUUUAUCAUUUAGAACCAAACACAGUAUAAUUCGAUUCAACCAGUAAACUUAUGUGAAAGCAACUAAAUUCCAAUU